Molecule: unclassified non-coding RNA, 354 nt
Filed under: uncultured fungus
Lineage: Eukaryota; Fungi
Description: partial contains small subunit ribosomal RNA, internal transcribed spacer 1, and 5.8S ribosomal RNA
Rfam family: Eukaryotic small subunit ribosomal RNA (bases 1-73)
Source: RNAcentral
GCAAACUUGGUCAUUUAGAGGAAGUAAAAGUCGUAACAAGGUUUCCGUAGGUGAACCUGCGGAAGGAUCAUUAAAAAAACUGCCUAAGACAUUCGUGUCCCAAGGCCCCACACUGUGUGCACCGUUUAAUCGUUCUUUGGCAGGGUCUUUGGGUUUUUUCUCUUUGGAGCUUUGACCCAACUUCUCUUAGACUCUAUCCCUUUGGGGACAGUCGAACAUGGGAAGCAGUUGCCCUGCCAAGUAACUCUUUAAAUACGCAUUUUUGUCUGAAAAAAUAUCGUUUUUUUAUUGCAUAAUAAAAACAUAACUUUCAACAACGGAUCUCUUGGCUCUCGCAUCGAUGAAGAACGCAGC